RNAcentral lists this ribosomal RNA (501 nucleotides) under uncultured Acidobacteriota bacterium. RNAcentral's name for it is "SSU rRNA". It matches the Rfam family "Bacterial small subunit ribosomal RNA", at positions 242 to 734 of the family's 1533-position model. The record is from RNAcentral. Lineage: Bacteria; Pseudomonadati; Acidobacteriota.
CAGCUAGUUGGUGAGGUAACGGCUCACCAAGGCUUCGAUCAGUAUCCGGCCUGAGAGGGCGGACGGACACACUGGGACUGAGACACGGCCCAGACUCCUACGGGAGGCAGCAGUGGGGAAUUGUUCGCAAUGGGCGCAAGCCUGACGACGCAACGCCGCGUGGAGGAUGAAGAUUUUCGGAUCGUAAACUCCUGUCGAAUGGGACGAACAGAUUGCGGGUGAACAGCCCGUAGUCCUGACGGUACCGUUAAAGGAAACCCCGGCUAACUCCGUGCCAGCAGCCGCGGUAAUACGGGGGGGGUAAGCGUUGUUCGGAAUUACUGGGCGUAAAGGGCUCGUAGGCGGCCAACUAAGUCGGACGUGAAAUCCCUCAGCUUAACUGGGGAACUGCGUCCGAUACUGGAUGGCUUGGAUUUGGGAGAGGGAUGCGGAGUUCCAGGUGUAGCGGUGAAAUGCGUAGAUAUCUGGAGGAACACCGGUGGCGAAGGCGGCAUCCUGGAC